CCUACGGGAGGCAGCAGUGAGGAAUAUUGGUCAAUGGCCGGAAGGCUGAACCAGCCAAGCCGCGUGAAGGACGAAGGUGCCAAGCAUUGUAAACUUCUUUUGUCAAGGGACAAAAUCAGGCUCGAGAGCCUGACCGAGGGUACUUGAAGAAAAAGCAUCGGCUAACUCUGUGCCAGCAGCCGCGGUAAUGCGGAGGAUGCGAGCGUUAUCCGGAUUUAUUGGGUUUAAAGGGUGCGUAGGCGGAGUGUCAAGUCAGCGGUAAAAUUUCGGGGCUCAACCCCGUCGUGCCGUUGAAACUGACGCCC
RNAcentral lists this ribosomal RNA (305 nucleotides) under uncultured bacterium. RNAcentral's name for it is "bacterial SSU rRNA". It matches the Rfam family "Bacterial small subunit ribosomal RNA", at positions 338 to 641 of the family's 1533-position model. The record is from RNAcentral.